This 73-nucleotide transfer RNA is filed under the name Candidatus Pacearchaeota archaeon. RNAcentral describes it as "tRNA-Thr". It matches the Rfam family "tRNA". From Rfam's summary of the family: Transfer RNA (tRNA) molecules are approximately 80 nucleotides in length. Their secondary structure includes four short double-helical elements and three loops (D, anti-codon, and T loops). Lineage: Archaea; Nanobdellati. The record is from RNAcentral.
GCCUCUGUAGUUCAGUGGUUGGAAUGUUUCCUUGGUAAGGAAAAGGUCCCGAGUUCGAUUCUCGGCAGAGGCU